Long non-coding RNA from Triticum aestivum (bread wheat), 3280 nucleotides. RefSeq lists it as uncharacterized. The record is from RefSeq and is a predicted model, not a curated record. The transcript is spliced from 8 exons. NCBI's taxonomy places the organism in Eukaryota, Viridiplantae, Streptophyta, Magnoliopsida, Poales, Poaceae.
CAUCUCUCGAGCCCCCCUUGUUCUUUCCCAGCAUUUGUUCUGACGGAGCAAGCCGAAGCACCGACUCCCUCGUGCACGGGCAUCCAGGCGACAUCGAGGUUGAUUCUUGGCUGGCAGCGUGCGGCGUACGGAAGAAGAGUUCUCCGCAAAGGCAGAAGUUUUUUGCCGUGAGGAAGUUAGAGAAGUGAAGAUGACAGAUUUGUUUAGUGUGAUACAAGCUACUAUGGUGAUAAAUCGUGUAGAAAACAGUGACCAAUACCCCGAAGAUUGGGUUAGUGACGAGGAUGGUUCAGGUGGUUCCACUGGAUUACCAGGGACACCAUGUUUUACCUCUAGGCUUUCAUUGUUCAAAGUUGGUUCGGUUGUUGCCAAGUUCAGUGAUUUCAAGCGGCAGCUAGUUAUGGAGACUGGUUUUGGGGGGUUUCUAGAGGUGAAGGCAUGGCAGAAGAUUAAUCUGAAGUAUAGUGCUUUUUUAAUGGAUCGAGUGGAUGUAGAAUCCAGUACAAUCAACAUUGAGGAACAGGGCAUGCUUGAAUUGUCCAAACAGAAGCUUAAUUAUGUUUUUGGCAUCCCCUCCGGUGAAUUCAAUAUAAACGGCGAAGGUGUCGAGCCAUCAGAAGCCUGCAUCGAGUACACACGAAUGGCAGCAUCAUUCAGUGACAAAGGCACGCAUAGCCUAAAAGCAGCUGAAAAUGUUUUGCUUGGAGUGAUAACAGAAUCGUCAUCCCAAAUACAGCAGGACUAUUUCAAGAUUGCAUUUGUUAUUUUUAUAAUCGGUCAUGUGCUGGCUCCCACCUCGAAACAUGAUUAUAUAUCCAUAGACUUCUGGGCUGCACUGAGUGACAUUGGCAAGAUCAAGAGUUGGAACUGGGGACGGUAUGUACUGAAACACCUGUUUCAAGCCGUCAGAAAGUUCAAGACAGAUGUUUCAAAGAGAAACCCAACCAUCCACAUAGUUGGUUGUCACUUGUUUUUGCAGGUUUUUGUUCUCGAUUGUCUCGACCUUGGUAUACUAAACAAGCCACGAGAAAUAACCCCAGCAUAGGUUUGUAUGAUUAUGAUUCAAUGAGGAAGAUGGUUGAGAAAAUUGUAGUGAACAUAUCUCUUGGGGAGAUUUCAUACCACGGGGGAGCGGUCUGGCCUGAGCUAUCUGUUAGCUAGCUGAUUGAACGCCAUGCGAAAGAUUCAUGCUCCAUAAAUCCCCCCCAAACAAGCAACAACCUCUAAAAGAGCAAGCAUACCAUCCAUGUCCAUGCUACGUUGUAAUUACACAAGGAAUGGCCCACAGGAAUUUUCAAAUUACAUCCGCACAAAAUAUCCGAGCAUAUCAGCAGAGAAGCUGGGUAUUCUUCUCCGUGAGCAGAAUGCACAUGGUCUCGCCAAUAUAACAGAAAUGUGCCAAGCAUUCCAGACCAACAUGUUCACUUUCACUGACAAGCUUAUGGCCUGUCUAGCAGAAAGUUGUACCUGCUGCAAGGCAUUUGGCCGCAAAUCUUGCAUUUUGAAUGGUGAAGGCACAACCAACUGUCAGCCACAUCCUACAACAUCAACAGACCAGAACCAAUUCAGCACUUCUUUAGUAAGCAAGGUUGGGCCACGCUUGCCUGCACCAGGCCACCAUGAAGGAGCCAUGUAUGCUACCAGAACAGCGUCUAGAAAAAGGGAAGGAAGUAUAUCAUCUAGUGUGCACUCUGGGUUAGCAAAGAAGCCAUGCUCACGCGAUGCACAACCGGUAUCAUCACUAGCACCAACACAUGAGAUUGACAAGCAAAGCGAGAUGGCCAUAGCAUAGGAUGCGUCCGUUAUGGAGAUUGCUAGCACGAUUGUCAUCAUGUAUGAUGAUCUAAUGGCCAUUCUUGUAACACAGCUGAGAUCCGGCCAUCUCCUGAGUACAUAUUGUUUGGAUCAACUACAGAAGGCGCACCUUUGAAGAUUGUCCUUCCUAAAUGCAAUUUCGGCAGAGACCCAUGGGUUGUUGGUACAGUAGCCGCCCCACCACCCGAGACAGCUCUCAGAGCUAUAAGAGACUAGAUGGCAGCAGCUUCUCCCUUAAAUCGUCAGAGGCAAGCAUAACCACUCAGCAAACAUACACUGAUGGGUCUGUAAAUUUUCAGAGGCAAGCACUAACCUUUGCCAUUCAUCUUUUCUGAUUAAUAGGCCAUGGGUUGUACACCCCAAACCUUGUUUCAUCUUAGUGGAGGGCUUAGAUAUUCAGCAAUAGCUUGUGGCACACGAGAAAAUGUCCCAUGAAAUUUGUACGUCCAUCUUCCGCGGGCUUGCCCAACUUGACAUGUGCUUCUCAAAAGACACUCCCGGGACGAUAUGGAGGAAAUACAUCAAGCCUGAUUUUGCGGUGAGUGAGACCAUCACACAAAGCCCCAAUCUGAAAAUUAUGACACAUUUUUACUGACCGCAAAACUUUUUCAAAUGUGCAAACAACUGUUACGUCUAAUGCCGACCCAUUGACCGUGCACUCCAUUAGGGCUAGCUUCCAGGAGGGAACCGCCUCUUGCAACCCAGCAUCAUGUCGCAUGGUAGUCCGACAUCAUUCAAACACUUUCCUUUUUUGUGCAACAUUACAUCCACAUUGCGAAUCACUUAUUUUUUUCUAUGUUCAUUUGGUAGUGGUUUAUUCCAGCAAUUCUCCCAAAUGGCUGGGUGGUUUAUGCAUUUGACAUGCUGCACAAGUGAAUCGUUGUUUAUGACCUUGUUGUUGGUCCAUUUAGAUACAGUAACCGCCGAGUCAGCAUGCAUGAAUUUGUGAGCAACAAACUUAAUGCUGCUUUGUUCAACUGCAUCUACAGUUUUUUCAGUUCAUGGCAUUGUGAAUCAACUCACUGGACACUUACAUUUCCAAUCAUAAUGAGAGAACAAUUUCACAAGGAUUAAGCCGGAUUGUGUGCCACUUUUUUGCAAGGAACUAUGAUGGUGACAAGUUGCAAAUCCCUCUCAGCAAAGAAACACUCGUAUUGCAUAGCAACCUCAUGUUGUACGAGCUGAUGAGGACGCAAGGAAAUCAAACAAAAGCUGCCAGCAACUCGCUCGAAGCAAUUAAAGGGUUGUUUGUCGUUUUGUAGGCAAACAUUGCUGUUUUAAUGAAGAGGUAGCCAUUUGUCUGUCUGCCAUUACUAGAUACAGCAUUUGUGUGUGUGGCAUCUUCCCAUUUUAAUCCCAUGUUGUAAUGAAGCUUAUCAGAGCUAAAUGCAAACAAGUUAGGACAAACCAGUUUUCAUCUGAUGUAGUUACAAGAUAGACAUGGGGAUACAUGUUUGGACCGUAA